UUGCUGAGCAAUUUGAUUGCUCAUUCUUGCAUCUAUUUUAUUUCUUUUUGAGCAGUAAAUAGUGAGUAUGGCACAACUCAAGAGAACCGCCCGGAAAUGGGUUUUUGGCAAAGGCAGGGAAAAGGCGCAUCACCCAAGCUGAGACUGCUAGACUACGCCGCUUGGUAGUACGAGCUAUAGUUAUUAUAAUGGUCUGAAAUCAGACUUCCCUUUAUGUAAUAAAGUUAGACUCGGUAGUAAUGUUGUAAGACGAUCGACCCUGGACUUGUGGGGCAAGAGUUGGAUUAUGUAAUAUUAAUAUGUAAUGCAAGUGUUGUUUUGAGCCAGAUGUUUAGUGGCGGACCAGAUCUGCGGGAUGUGGAUCUGGGGGCGUCACAGAUUUGGUAUCAGAGCUGUAGUUAUAUCCUUAGGAUUUGAGAAACCCUAGGAAUAUAACGAGCGAGAAUGAUAUGAAGUUUAAGAUAAGGUGCCCUAGUACCUAUCUCCAUAUGUUAGAGAACAUAUGUACCAAAUAAACUUUUAGCAAAGGGUUAGUAGACCCUACAAGUAUAAACAUUUAUAGUUACGAGCAAUCGUAGUAGUAACUAUUAGUAAUGGUGUUUGUUGUAUUAUGUAGAUGUCAGGUUACGACUGAUACUGAUCCAUUGAUGGAGAUUGAGAUGAUAGACAUCGAGUAUGGGAAUUCUUCUAUACAGAUAUUUGAACCACCAACACCUGAGAUCAUUAACUUAGUAUUUGAGGAGAUCGGGGAUAAAGAAUCUUCUGAGUUCAAUAAGAGUGAUGGGAUGGACAUCUUUCCAUCUUUACCUGAGAUGAUUUCUGUUCCUACUUUGACCACUUCCUUUUCGGAUACCACUUCUACUGUUCCUCCACUUGUUUCGGAGAAUGGAGACCCUUCUAUUCUAGACUUGCUUCGACAUUUUAAGCCCACACCUCUUCUUAUAGCCCUACUACCACACAUACUUUUAAUCGUUGUCAUUUUGGGACUGUUGUGUCAUCUUUGAUUGGGGAUGCUCCUGUACCACCUUUGAGUAGCAAUACCUUUGUUUAUAUACUAUUCGAACCUCGAGUUCGAGUUUCACCCACUGUUACCACUUUAUCCGAGACUUUUGUACCACUUACAGCUUUAUCCACUAUUCUAGUGUUCUGCACCUCAGACUACCCCUUUUCAAAUUAGCGAAUCUUCUUUUGUACCAGUUUCUAUACCUCCGAGUGGCAACUUUAUACCACUUUCAAAGUAUAUGUCUUUGGUUCACCAGCAGUUGAGAGAGUCUAGUUAUGAGUCUAGAUUUGGGAUUCCAGAAUCUUAUGAUCCUAUGUCUGUUUCUGCGGGUUCAUAUUUUCUUGCCCGAGAGUUUAGUAUGGAGACUGUUUAUCAGAUUUCUGUUUCUGUAUUUGAGGGACUCUGUAUAUGUUACACUUGAGCUUUCUGAAUUCCAGCAUAGGGUCUCAGAGAUAUUUGGUGAUAGAUUUGUUGUUUUAUGUAUAGCUUGACUUUUGAGGGAUAACACACGUAGUCUGUGUGUAUCGCAGUUAUAGUAUAUGAUGUAUCUGGAGAAUAUGUAGACAUUGUAUAGUAUCAUAAUAGGGAAUCGUGCAUAUCCUUUGGUGAAGAUGCAGAUGCUAUAGUUUCGAUCAAUAGAUCAUUCUGGCAGUAGAAAUGUAUGUAGGUAAUCUUUUGUAUAGUGAUGACCAGAUUAGACUUGAUGUAGUAGGAUGAUAACCAGGUCAGAUGUACUUUCUAUAUCAUGACUUCUACCCCGAAAGCUUCGGAUAUUAUGACCAUUAUGGGAGGGAUGAUCAAUCUUUAUUUGUUUAUACCUUUCCUAUAUUUGUUGCACUUGUCAACCACCUUUGACCUGUUUCAUUUCCGUCAACUAUCUUGCAUUUGCUACAUCAAUAAUCCAAUGUGAAGUCCUUUAAAAAAAAUGUGUAUGUGUUCAAAUUUUAAAGUUUUUAGAGGUUUCCAAAAAGAAAAACGUUCAGGUUUCUAAAGUUUUAAAGUUUUUCAAAAGAGAGGGUGCAACCUUUAAUGUUUCUAAAGUUUUCAAAGAAAUGCAAUUUUGAUACAACUUGUGUUUUCAACCAAGAUGUGGAACCUGUUUUAAAAAGUUUUAUACAACCAAGAUGUGGAACCUGUUUUAAAAAGUUUUAUACUGUGUAUGUUACAAAAUUGCACCUUGUUGUACCUUUGGAUAAACCUUGCAUUCUGUAUAAUGAUGAGAACUAUUAAACGGUUUUGUCUACUCUUAUAGAUUGAGAUGGAUUUAAACCUGAAUGAAAACCUUGUUGAUGAAUCAAUACCAGAUGCUUCACUUGAAUUUCAACCCAGGCCCAAUCUUGUUCAAUUACUUGUUGAUCUUCUUCAACAACAUACCCAGAAUUUUCGAAACGAUACUGAAAGAAGUUCUUCAAGUCAUCUUACUAAACCGAUUAUUUAUUUCAAAUCUUUCAAGUCUUUGCAACCUCCAGAGUUUAAAAGGGACUGUAGUUCCCGUUGAGGCCAAGAUAUGGCUAAAAAAAAAUAAUAAUAAUAAUAGAGAAGACUUUUGAAAUAGUUGGUACAUAAGAGGAUAAGAAAAAUAUUUUUAAUGCUUAUAUGCUUAAUGGAGAGGCUAAUUAUUGGUGGAUAGCUAAGCUAGUUCUAGAAGAGUCUAGUGUGAUAUCAUGGACUAGGUUUACAAAGUUAUUGCUAGAGAAGUAUGUUCCUAAACACCUAGAGAAUCAUAUAGAGCUCAAAUUUCUAGAACCUGAGCAAGAGAGUAUGUUAGUAGCUGAAUAUGAAGCUAAGUUUAUCGAACUUUCGAAAUUUAUUCCACAUCGAGUAAAUACGGACGAAAAGAAAGCUAAAUGUUUACAGCCGGGCUUAAAGCCCUGGAUUCAGAGUAGGGUAACUAUUCUCGAGAUUGCUAGCUAUGCGACGUAAGUGUACAAAACUUGUAUAGUUGAGGCAAGCAAUGAGUUGUUUAACAUAGAGAUUGUCGAUAAGAAACGGAAACCCCUGCAAAACAAUCAAAAUAUUAAAAAAGAAACGUUGGACUCAUGGUGUGAAGGAACCUUUUGUAAAAUAAGAAAUGCCGCGAGCAGAGAAUAUAGGUGAAAUAGAAGGAAAUAAAAUGUUUAGAACUUCGCAAACCGCGAACGCGUUACAAGGGAGAUCCCCGUUGCCUGAGUAGAAGAUCUGUAGAAUACGCUAUUUAUGAAUAAUAUUACGUUUCACACUACUUCAGCUCAAGUUGACAUCAAACCUCAUUUUGAAAACUGAGAAGUUUGUUCUGUAUCUUGAGUCCUUCCUUUGUUCGGAAGCGACUACCCCUAAUAAUCAAUAUUUCUUUGAUGUCACAAAAUCUUUUGUGAUUCAUGAUUCGAGAAUUGGAAUAAAUAUACACCACAAUGAUGAUCUCAAUCUAAUAAUUCUAAGGGAUCGUCUCAUAUUUGAUUCUAUUUCUGAUUUUAUCCACUGAAAAUCCUUGAAUUGUGAUUAAAGGAUGCAUUGCUCGCAUUCCUUGGAAGAAGUGUGUUGAGAAAUAAUUAUGGUCCAAAAUUGCGACUCCUUUGACCAAGUUGACUACGAAAGAAGAGAAGUUUGAAUGGACCCCUAAAUGCGAAGAGAGUUUCAAGAAUUAAAGGAGCUACUAACAACGGCUCUUGUGCUGAUCCUAUCUGACGAAACAUGAAAUUUUGUGAUCUAUAGUGAUAAAGGACUAGGAUGUGUCAUUAUGCAACACGGAAAAGUGAUAGCGUAUGUUUCUAGACAACUUAAGGACUAUAAAUUAAUAUACCAUACCCAUGACCUAGAGUUAGCUGCUAUAGUGUUUGCUUUAAAGAUUUGGCGUCAUUAUUUGUAUGGUGAGAAGUGUGAGAUAUUUACUGAUCAUAAAAGUUUAAAAUAUCUGUUUACUCAGAAAGAGUUGAACAUGAGACAGAGAAGAUGGUUAGAAUUGAUAAAGGAUUAUGACUGUACAAUCAACUACCACCCAGGGAAAGCGANGAAGGUGUUUCAAGAAGGUCUUGUAUGGAGAGAUAAAAUUCAGACCCUCGAAUUUGAGGAUUUUUACAUCGAUUAUCGAGAGUUAAAUAAGUCGACCCUUUAUCUAGGGUUGAUGAUUUGUUUAAUUAGUUGAAGAGAGCAUCUUACUUUUUAAAAUAGACUUGAGAUCUGAAUGCCAUCAGUUAAGGAAUCAGGUUUGAGAAUGUACCUAAGACAUCCUUUAAAACCCAAUAUGGACAUUAUGAGUUAUUGGUGAUGUCUUUUAUAUUGACUAAUGCACCUACAAUGUUUAUGGAUCUUAUGAAUAGAGUUUUUAAGAAAUAUUUGGAUAAGUUCAUUAUUAUUUUAUCAAUGAUAUUUUGAUUUAUUCUGAGACGAAAGAAGAACAUGUUGAGUAUCUUAGAAUAACUUUGGAAAUUUAGAAGGAAAAAAAAAUGUUAUAGGCAAAUUGAAAGGUGAAUUUUUGAUUGAGCAAGUACAAUUUUUAGGGCGUAUAGUUUCUAAAGAAGGUAUAUCAGUAAACCCCGCAAAGAUUGAUGGAGUAUCAAAUUGGGAAAGACUAAGGUUCCCAACAGAAGUAAGAAUUUUCUUGGAUUAGUAGGGAUAUUAUAGAAGAUUCGUAAAAGAUUUCUCCAAAAUUGCGACUCCUUUGACCAAGUUGACUACAAAAGAAGAGAAGUUUGAAUGGACCCCUAAAUGCGAAGAGAGUUUCAAGAAUUAAAGGAGCUACUAACAACGGCUCUUGUGCUGAUCCUAUCUGACGAAACAUGAAAUUUUGUGAUCUAUAGUGAUAAAGGACUAGGAUGUGUCAUUAUGCAACACGGAAAAGUGAUAGCGUAUGUUUCUAGACAACUUAAGGACUAGAAAUUAAUAUACCAUACCCAUGAUCUAGAGUUAGCUGCUAUAGUGUUUGCUAUAAAGAUUUGGCGACAUUAUUUGUAUGGUGAGACAUUGUUUGUAUGGUGUUAAGUGUGAGAUAUUAAGGAUUCGGAGCAUAAGGAGGGAAGGAUUUAUGAGAUGUUAGUACAACCGGAACUAAUAGAAAGAAUCAAAAAGAGUCAGGAAUUAAUGAUUGAAGAAAGACGAUCUGAAUUGACUGGUGAUGAGUACUUGAGUGUUAAAGAUGAAAAAGGAGUUAGGAGAUUUGCCAACAGAAUUUGGAUUCCUAACCUGAUAGAUCUUAAGAGGGAUAUUCUGAGUGAAGCUCAUGAGUCAAAAUAUUCUAUACACCCAGGAAGCACCAAAAUGUAUCAAGAUUUAAAGAGAAAUUAUUGGUGGCCUAAUAUGAAAAGAGAGAUUGCCGACUGGGUGAGUAAAUGUCUAACAUGUCAAAAAGUAAAAGCUGAACAUCAACGACCUGGUGGAUUAUUGCAACCACUAGAGAUCCCAGAAUGGAAAUGGGAACAUAUUACCAUGGAUUUCAUAGUAGGAUUUCCUAGGACUCGAGCAAAUCAUGAUGCUAUUUGGGUAAUUGUUGAUAGAUUGACAAAAUCGGCGCAUUUUCUUCCUAUUAGUGAGAAAUAUACCCUCGAAAGAUUAGUGAAAAUGUACAUGAAUGAAGUUGUGUCUAAACAUGGAGUGCCAAUAUCAAUUGUUUCGGAUAGAGAUGCUAGAUUUACAUCAAGAUUUUGGCAAGCAUUUCAGGAAUGCUUUGGAACUAGGCUUAACCUAAGUACUGCAUACCACCCUCAAACAGAUGGACAAAGUGAAAGGACAAUCCAGACUAUAGAGGAUAUGUUAAGAGCUUGUUCUUUGGAUUUCAAAGGAAGUUGGGAUGAUCACUUACCUCUAGUAGAGUUUUCUUAUAACAACAGCUAUCACGCUAGUAUUGGAAUGGCACCUUUUGAGGCAUUGUAUGGUAGAAAAUGUAGAUCACCACUUUGCUGGGAUGAAGUUGGAGAGAAAAAGAUUUUAGGACCAGAACUAGUUCAACAUACCAAACAAUCAAUUGAGAAAAUAAGAAAAAGACUAGUUGCAGCUCAAGAUAGGCAAAAGAAAUAUGCGGACUUAAAAAGGAAUGAGAAAGUCUUUGAUGUAGGAGAAAAAGUACUUCUAAAAGUAUCGCCUUGGAAAGGAGUAAUUAGAUUUGGUAAAAGAAGUAAGUUAAACCCGAGAUAUAUAGGACCAUUUGAGAUUUUGAGAAAAGUAGGAAGUGUUUCUUAUCAAUUGGCCUUACCCCCAGAUUUACAACAUAUCCAUGAUGUUUUCCAUGUAUCCAUGUUAAAAAUUUACAAGACCGACAACCGUCAUGUUCUAAACUACGAGCCAGUAAAUAUUCAAUCUGAUCUAACAUACGAAGAGCAACCAGUGGAGAUAGUAGAUUCAAAAAUUCAAGAAUUGAGGACUAAGAGAGUCAAGUUAGUUAAAGUAAUAUGGCGAAAUCAAGCUGUCGAAGAAGCUACGUGGGAAUUAGAGGAAGAAAUGAGGAAGAAUUACCCAGAGUUGUUCGGCACUAAUCGAGAUUCCGAGGACGGAAUCCCUUAAGGAGGGAAGAAUGUAACAACCGUGAAAUUUACAAGUACGCCAAAAUGCGGCUAUUUAAUUUAAUUAUUUAUUGUGUAAAAAGACUAUUAUUAUAGUCUCGAAUUUAAUAAAAAUAUAUGAUAUAAAAAGUAUCAAUUAAAAUAUUAUAGUUGCGAGAAUUCUAAAAAAUGUAUUAUAUCAACUAGUGUGGACCAGUAUUUUAAUAUAUGUGUUAAAUCGAGAGUUGCGUUUAAACGAAGAAUCUAGUUGACGCGGUUAUCUAACUGCGGGCCGUGAAUAGAUAAAUAUAACGUCUUAGCCAAGUUGAUUAUUUUAUUAUAGACUCAAAAUUUGGUAAUAAAAUAUUAAAAUGAUAAUUAAUAUAUUUAUUUAUGUUAUUAUUUUAUUCAAUAAUUAAUUAUUUAAUAUUAUUUUUGAAAUUAUCCGAGAAUAACCGAGCCAAGCGGGAUUAUUUUUACGAGUCGGAACUUGGGGCCCAAGUCAUAAUACUUGGAGCCCAAGCAUACAACUUGGAUCCCAAGUUUACGUGGUGGCCAAGUAGAAUUAAUUAAUUAAUUAGGCAUACAUUAGGAGAGUCAUUAGCUUUAAUGAGGAUUAGUAAAUGAGUAUAAAUACCGAACAAAAGCUUUGUUUUCAUUUUCCACAUUACUGCUAAAGAGAAGAGGGGAAGGAAUUUGGUAGAAGAAGAGAGUUAAGCAGAAGAAAUUUAUUGAAGUUUCACUCCGAAAGUUCCUGUAAAGCAAGGUAAGUCACUUGGCUUUUUAAUUAAAUGGAGAAUUAAUUCCAAUAUUUAAUUGAGGACCCACUUGCGUAUAUUAAUUUGAGUGAUCUAAAAUACUUAAAUUUAUUCAAUCAAAUUGGUAAGUGUCUAAUUUAGGAUCAUAGUAUCUAUUUUGGGAUAAUUAAUAGAGUCAUAUACAUCUAAAGGAGCUUGGGGAUUUUGCCUAAACUACUGUAAAAUUUGGUCUUAUGUUUAAGUUGGAGUUUUGAUGAAGUGGUGAUAAAUUGUUAAGAUUGGUUGUGUUGAUUAACGUGCUAAUUGGAGAUGGAGUUCGAGUCGGGGAGAGAGGAAGGAAAGUAGUAGGAGAUGAGGGAAAAAAAAGAGAUGUGAGGGAGGUGAAUAUAGUAGUGACAUAAUGAGAAUUUUACAAGUUGGAGGAAUUUAAUAAAUUCCAAAAAUAUCGUAAUUGGGUAGGUUAAAUAAUAAAAUUAAUAAAAUAUGGGAAUUGAAUUUAUAAAGUAGGAUUUGGG
Molecule: long non-coding RNA, 7726 nt
Filed under: Daucus carota (carrot)
Lineage: Eukaryota; Viridiplantae; Streptophyta; Magnoliopsida; Apiales; Apiaceae
Description: long non-coding RNA (DCAR_LNC005277)
Source: RNAcentral